UAGGGAAUAUUAGAAAUGGACGAAAGUCUGAUCUAGCAACACCGCGUGUGCGAAGAAGGCCUUCGGGUCGUAAAGCACUUUUUGGAAGGAAUAGGAAGGAAUGUACUUCCAGAAUAAGUCUCGGCUAACUACGUGCCAGCAGCCGCGGUAACACGUAGGAGGCGAACGUUAUCCGGAUUUACUGGGCGUAAAGCGCGUGUAGGUGGUACUGUAAGUAGGGCGUGAAAGCUCCUGGCUCAACUGGGAGAGGCCGUUCUAAACUACAGAACUAGAGGAUGGUAGAGGGAGGUGGAAUUCCGGGUGUAGUGGUGAAAUGCGUAGAUAUCCGGAGGAACACCAGUGGCGAAGGCGGCCUUCUGGACCAUCACUGACGCUCAGACGCGAAAGCUAGGGUAGCAAACGG
RNAcentral lists this ribosomal RNA (403 nucleotides) under uncultured bacterium. RNAcentral's name for it is "bacterial SSU rRNA". It matches the Rfam family "Bacterial small subunit ribosomal RNA", at positions 355 to 775 of the family's 1533-position model. The record is from RNAcentral.